UUCUCGAGCGUGAAAAGAGCGUUCGGUGGAUGCCUUGGCGCCAGGAGGCGAUGAAGGACGUGGCACGCUGCGAAAAGCCGCGGGGAGAUGCGAGCGAUCGUUGAUCCGCGGAUGUCCGAAUGGGGAAACCCCACCGCAAGGUGAUCGUGCACUGAAUACAUAGGUGUACGAGGCGAACCCGGGGAACUGAAACAUCUCAGUACCUGGAGGAAAAGACAUCAACAGAGAUUCCGCGAGUAGUGGCGAGCGAAAGCGGAGUAGGCCAGUGGUUGCUGCAGGAGAAGGCGAAUGGUCUGGAAAGGCCGGCCGUAGCGGGUGAUAGCCCCGUAGCCGUAGUGUCUGCAGUGAUCCUUGAGUAGGGCGGGGCACGUGAAACCCUGUCUGAACGUGGGGGGACCACCCUCCAAGCCUAAAUACUCCCUGGCGACCGAUAGUGCACAAGUACCGUGAGGGAAAGGUGAAAAGCACCCCGACGAGGGGAGUGAAAGAGACCUGAAACCGGACGCUUACAAGCAGUCGGAGCUCGCAAGAGUGACGGCGUACCUUUUGUAUAAUGGGUCCGCGAGUUCGUGUUGGCAGCGAGCUUAAGCCGAGAGGUGUAGGCGCAGCGAAAGCGAGUCCGAAAUGGGCGUUGAGUUGCCGGCAUGAGACCCGAAACCUGGUGAUCUAGCCAUGGACAGGCUGAAGGUGGGGUAACACCUACUGGAGGGCCGAACCCACGCCUGUUGAAAAAGUCGGGGAUGAUCUGUGGCUAGGGGUGAAAGGCCAAUCAAACCAGGAAAUAGCUGGUUCUCCGCGAAAUCUAUUGAGGUAGAUCGUCAUCUGGACACCCUCGGAGGUAGAGCACCGGAUGGGCUAGGGGGACCCAAAGUCCUACCAAACCCAACCGAACUCCGAAUGCCGAGGAGUGAUGGGUGGCAGACAGACGGCGGGUGCUAAGGUCCGUCGUCGAGAGGGAAACAGCCCAGACCACCAGCUAAGGCCCCUAAUUCGUGGCUAAGUGGGAAAGCAUGUGGGACGGCCAAAACAACCAGGAGGUUGGCUUAGAAGCAGCCAUCCUUUAAAGAAAGCGUAAUAGCUCACUGGUCUAAUAGCUGUUCUGCGGCGAAAAUGUAACGGGGCUCAAGCCACGAGCCGAAGCUGUGGGUGCAUCGAAAGAUGUGCGGUAGCGGAGCGUUCCCUAGGCCUGUGAAGCGGUACCUGUGAGGGGCCGUGGAGGUAUGGGAAGUGCGAAUGCGGACAUGAGUAGCGACAAGAAGGGUGAGAAACCCUUCCGCCGAAAAUCCAAGGGUUCCUGCGCAAGGCUAAUCCGCGCAGGGUGAGCCGGCCCCUAAGGCGAGGGCGACAGCCGUAGCCGAUGGAAACCAGGUGAAUAUUCCUGGGCCCGUCAGAAGUGACAGCCGUGAAGUGCUGUAUGCCCUUAUCGGAUUGGGUGUGCAGUUGGAUCGGCUCGGGAAAUAGCUCUGACAUAUGGACCGUACCCGAAACCGACACAGGUGGAUUGGACGAGUAUUCCAAGGCGCUUGAGGGAACCAUGCUGAAGGAACUAGGCAAAUUGCUCGCGUAACUUCGGGAUAAGCGAGACCUGCUGGCGGGCAACCGCUGGUGGGUGGCACAGACCAGGGGGUGGCGACUGUUUAGUAAAAACACAGGGCUCUGCGAAAUCGAGAGAUGACGUAUAGGGUCUGACGCCUGCCCGGUGCUGGAAGGUCAAGGGGAGGAGUGCAAGCUCCGAACCGAAGCCCCAGUAAACGGCGGCCGUAACUAUAACGGUCCUAAGGUAGCGAAAUUCCUUGUCGGGUAAGUUCCGACCUGCACGAAUGGCGUAACGACCUCCCCACUGUCUCCAGCAUGGGCUCAGCGAAAUUGAAUUCCCCGUGAAGAUGCGGGGUACCCGCGGUCAGACGGAAAGACCCUAUGAACCUUUACUGCAGCUUCGCAGUGGCGCCAGGAAGGGACUGUGUAGGAUAGGUGGGAGGCUUUGAAGCAUGGGCGCUAGCUUGUGUGGAGCCAACCUUGAAAUACCACCCUGUGCCUUUCUGGCGUCUAACCGAACCCGGUCACCCCGGGUCGGGACCCUGCGUGGUGGGCAGUUUGACUGGGGCGGUCGCCUCCCAAAUGGUAACGGAGGCGCGCGAUGGUGGGCUCAAGCCGGUCGGACAUCGGCUGUUGAGUGCAAAGGCACAAGCCCGCCUGACUGCGAGCGCGACGGCGCGAGCAGAGACGAAAGUCGGCCUUAGUGAUCCGGUGGUCCCGCGUGGAAGGGCCAUCGCUCAACGGAUAAAAGGUACUCUAGGGAUAACAGGCUGAUCUCCCCCAAGAGUCCACAUCGACGGGGAGGUUUGGCACCUCGAUGUCGGCUCAUCGCAUCCCGGGGCUGGAGCAGGUCCCAAGGGUUCGGCUGUUCGCCGAUUAAAGCGGUACGUGAGCUGGGUUUAGAACGUCGUGAGACAGUUCGGUCCCUAUCUGCCGUGGGUGUACGAGACUUGAGAGGAUCUGUCCCUAGUACGAGAGGACCGGGAUGGACGCACCUCUGGUGAACCGGUUGUCACGCCAGUGGCACGGCCGGGUGGCCAAGUGCGGAACGGAUAACCGCUGAAGGCAUCUAAGCGGGAAACCAGCCUCAAGACCAGGUCUCGCCGAGGGCCGUGGUAGACCACCACGUCGAUAGGCCGCAGGUGCAAGAAGGGUAACCUUCUCAGCCGAGCGGUCCUAAUCGCCCGAUCGAGCUCAAGA
RNAcentral lists this ribosomal RNA (2736 nucleotides) under Falsiroseomonas algicola. Its description in RNAcentral is "23S ribosomal RNA". It matches the Rfam family "Bacterial large subunit ribosomal RNA". Lineage: Bacteria; Pseudomonadati; Pseudomonadota; Alphaproteobacteria; Acetobacterales; Roseomonadaceae. The record is from RNAcentral.